This 610-nucleotide ribosomal RNA is filed under the name Tetrahymena gruchyi. RNAcentral describes it as "SSU rRNA". It matches the Rfam family "Bacterial small subunit ribosomal RNA", at positions 978 to 1498 of the family's 1533-position model. Lineage: Eukaryota; Ciliophora; Oligohymenophorea; Hymenostomatida; Tetrahymenidae. The record is from RNAcentral.
CGUUUUAGGCUUUAUCAGUAGUAUGGUUAAUACCAAAAUUACAUGAUCUAGUACGGAAUUGCAUGGCUGUCGUCAGUUCGUGCUGUGAAGUUUAGGAUUAAGUUCUUUUUAACGAAUGCAACCCUAUAAGUAAGUUUUUAUUUUAUAAUAAAAUAUUUUAUAAAAUAUACUUAUUUAAUCUAUAAUUAGAUUAUAUUGAAUCUUUUCAUUAUAUUCUUUUAUAGGGGUUAUAGGCUGAAGUCAAGUCCCUAUGGUCUUUAUACGUUGGGCUACACACGUGUUACAAGGGUAAAAACAAAAAGACGCAAAAGAGCAAUCUUGAGCAAACCUUUAAAAAUUACCUUAGUUCAGAUUGUUUUAUGAAAUUCUAAAACAUGAAGAUGAAAUCGUUAGUAAUUGUAAAUUAUUAUGUUACAGUGAAACAAUAGUCAAAUUUUGCACACACCGCCCAUCACGCUCGGAAAGUCAAUAAUAGCGGAAGAUUUGAAAAACUCUGCGCAAAAUUAAUAUUAAUAUAAUAUUAAUUGUCUACGUAUUAUUUUUUAAUGGCAUGGUUGAAAAGUAGUAUCUAAUCUAGUAUUGGUAAUUUGAGUGAAGUUGACACAAGGUA